AUUGAACGCUGGCGGCAGGCCUAACACAUGCAAGUCGAGCGGAUGAAGGGAGCUUGCUCCUGGAUUCAGCGGCGGACGGGUGAGUAAUGCCUAGGAAUCUGCCUGGUAGUGGGGGAUAACGUCCGGAAACGGGCGCUAAUACCGCAUACGUCCUGAGGGAGAAAGUGGGGGAUCUUCGGACCUCACGCUAUCAGAUGAGCCUAGGUCGGAUUAGCUAGUUGGUGGGGUAAAGGCCUACCAAGGCGACGAUCCGUAACUGGUCUGAGAGGAUGAUCAAUCACACUGGAACUGAGACACGGUCCAGACUCCUACGGGAGGCAGCAGUGGGGAAUAUUGGACAAUGGGCGAAAGCCUGAUCCAGCCAUGCCGCGUGUGUGAAGAAGGUCUUCGGAUUGUAAAGCACUUUAAGUUGGGAGGAAGGGCAGUAAGUUAAUACCCUGCUGUUUUGACGUUACCAACAGAAUAAGCACCGGCUAACUUCGUG
This 484-nucleotide ribosomal RNA is filed under the name uncultured bacterium. Its description in RNAcentral is "partial 16S ribosomal RNA". It matches the Rfam family "Bacterial small subunit ribosomal RNA", at positions 30 to 507 of the family's 1533-position model. The record is from RNAcentral.